This 194-nucleotide ribosomal RNA is filed under the name uncultured bacterium. Its description in RNAcentral is "partial 16S ribosomal RNA". It matches the Rfam family "Bacterial small subunit ribosomal RNA", at positions 1306 to 1500 of the family's 1533-position model. The record is from RNAcentral.
UGAAACUCGCCUGCAUGAAGUCGGAAUUGCUAGUAAUCGUAGAUCAGCAUGCUGCGGUGAAUACGUUCCCGGGCCUUGUACACACCGCCCGUCACACCAUGGGAGUCGGUAACACCCGAAGCCUGUAGUCUAACCGCAAGGAGGACGCAGUCGAAGGUGGGAUUGAUGACUGGGUGAAGUCGUAACAAGGUAUC